Long non-coding RNA from Heterocephalus glaber (naked mole-rat), 434 nucleotides. The record is from Ensembl. NCBI's taxonomy places the organism in Eukaryota, Metazoa, Chordata, Mammalia, Rodentia, Bathyergidae.
CUGACUUAUUACAGCUGCUUUGACCAAGCUGGAAGACUCCAUCCACCCACAGAAACAGAAUGGGCAGAAUUAUCACCAAAAGAAAACCCGGAAGAGUGUGUGCUCUUACAAUGGACAAGGACCAGGGAUCGAAUUCAGGACCCUGCACUUGCAAGGCAGACAUGGUGCCACUGAGCUAAAUCCAUGUCCCUAUCUGAAACUUCUAUAAAAUAAGUGUCAUUCUGAUGUCACAAAUGAGGAAAUUGGAUUUCAGAGAGUAUAAGAGAUUGCCUGAACUGAGAUAGCUGGUAUAGACCUGAAGAUACUUCCUGAUACACUCUGCCUGCAAAUCUCUGUCUCUAAACCUGUUCUCAGGGGACUGGAUUUACGACACAUGCUAUUCUUCAACUCAGAGUACUUUCCCUGUCCAUCCUUUUUUGUGAGUUGAAUUAUCC